Molecule: ribosomal RNA, 381 nt
Filed under: uncultured eukaryote
Lineage: Eukaryota
Description: partial 18S ribosomal RNA
Rfam family: Eukaryotic small subunit ribosomal RNA
Source: RNAcentral
CAAUAGCGUAUAUUAAAGCUGUUGCGGUUAAAAAGCUCGUAGUUGGAUUUCUGUCAAGGACAACUGGUCCGCCCUCCGGGUGAGCACAUAGUUUGGUCUUGGCAUCUUGCUGGAAGCUGUUGCUGCACUUGGCUGUGUGGCGCAGCGUCCAGCACUUUUACUUUGAGGAAAUUGGAGUGUUUCAAGCAGGCACAUGCCUUUGGACACAGUAGCAUGGAAUAACUAGAUUGGGCUUUUGCUCCAAUUUGUCGGUUUCUGGAGCUGAGGUGAGAAUUAAUGGGGAUUGUUGGGGGCAUCCGAAUUUAGCCGUCAGAGGUGAAAUUCUUGGAUCUGCUAAAGACGGACAACUGCGAAAGCGUUUGCCCAGGAUGUUUUCAUUGA